This 676-nucleotide ribosomal RNA is filed under the name Comamonas sp. Its description in RNAcentral is "bacterial SSU rRNA". It matches the Rfam family "Bacterial small subunit ribosomal RNA", at positions 74 to 747 of the family's 1533-position model. Lineage: Bacteria; Pseudomonadati; Pseudomonadota; Betaproteobacteria; Burkholderiales; Comamonadaceae. The record is from RNAcentral.
AGGUCUUCGGAUGCUGACGAGUGGCGAACGGGUGAGUAAUACAUCGGAACGUGCCUAGUAGUGGGGGAUAACUACUCGAAAGAGUAGCUAAUACCGCAUGAGAUCUACGGAUGAAAGCAGGGGAUCGCAAGACCUUGUGCUACUAGAGCGGCUGAUGGCAGAUUAGGUAGUUGGUGGGAUAAAAGCUUACCAAGCCGACGAUCUGUAGCUGGUCUGAGAGGACGAUCAGCCACACUGGGACUGAGACACGGCCCAGACUCCUACGGGAGGCAGCAGUGGGGAAUUUUGGACAAUGGGCGAAAGCCUGAUCCAGCAAUGCCGCGUGCAGGAUGAAGGCCUUCGGGUUGUAAACUGCUUUUGUACGGAACGAAAAGCUUUGGGUUAAUACCCUGGAGUCAUGACGGUACCGUAAGAAUAAGCACCGGCUAACUACGUGCCAGCAGCCGCGGUAAUACGUAGGGUGCAAGCGUUAAUCGGAAUUACUGGGCGUAAAGCGUGCGCAGGCGGUUUUGUAAGACAGAGGUGAAAUCCCCGGGCUCAACCUGGGAACUGCCUUUGUGACUGCAAGGCUAGAGUACGGCAGAGGGGGGUGGAAUUCCGCGUGUAGCAGUGAAAUGCGUAGAUAUGCGGAGGAACACCGAUGGCGAAGGCAACCCCCUGGGCCUGUACUGACGCU